This 253-nucleotide ribosomal RNA is filed under the name uncultured bacterium. Its description in RNAcentral is "partial 16S ribosomal RNA". It matches the Rfam family "Bacterial small subunit ribosomal RNA", at positions 524 to 776 of the family's 1533-position model. The record is from RNAcentral.
UACGUAGGGGGCUAGCGUUGUCCGGAAUCAUUGGGCGUAAAGCGCGUGUAGGCGGUUCGGUAAGUCUGCUGUGAAAGUCGGGGGCUCAACCCUCGAAUGCCGGUGGAUACUGUCGGACUAGAGUGCGGAAGAGGCGAGUGGAAUUCCUGGUGUAGCGGUGAAAUGCGCAGAUAUCAGGAGGAACACCAAUUGCGAAGGCAGCUCGCUGGGACGUUACUGACGCUGAGACGCGAAAGCGUGGGUAGCAAACAGG